Long non-coding RNA from Rosa chinensis, 1402 nucleotides. RefSeq lists it as uncharacterized. NCBI's taxonomy places the organism in Eukaryota, Viridiplantae, Streptophyta, Magnoliopsida, Rosales, Rosaceae. The transcript has 5 exons. The record is from RefSeq and is a predicted model, not a curated record.
UUUGUAUUUUGUUUCAGGUUCUUGAGUCAAUUAAUAGCACUUACUUGGUCUCACCCCAAACUGAUCAGAGCUUGCAACAAAUGUCUUCCCAAUUUACUGAUUCUUUAAGAUUGGAUUCUCUUGAGAAGAGCAGUGAAACCAAGGCACAUAAGCAGAAUGUUCAGACCUUGAUCGAUCAUGGGUUAGACGGACAAGUUUUAACGGCUGAGAAACCAAAUUCUGCUACCAAGUCCUCAAAAUCUGACACUCCAAUCCAUUCAGUCAAUCUCAAUGAAAUUACAAUAAACAAUUCCCCUGGUACAGGUUUGCCCGAGUCCUUUGUCUCAACUGGACACACCAAUGCACCCUCAGUGGGUAGGACUUCGGAGACCGCUCUUCUAGAUGAAAGGUUAUUGUUGGCUUGGAUGGUUCGGACAAUACCAGCUGGUGGUAGAAUUAGGAUCAGUUCGACGGCUUGGGAAGAUGCUUGCACCUUUAGACUGGCAUGAUUACAAGAAAAAGUAUGGAAAGCUAGAUGAUUUCGUUGCUGCUCAUACUGAAUUAUUUGUGAUUGAGGGGGACUAUAUUCAGCUGCGUGAAGGAGCUCAAGAGAUGAUAGCAGCUACAGCCGCUGUUGCCAGAGUUGCUGUUGCUGCAGCAACAUCAUCCCCUACUCUUCAUGUUUGCCUUAUGUGGCUGUUACUCCAGUGGCACAGACUCACCGCUUAAAGAAGAUAUCAUCUCUUGAUUCCAAAAAUGUGGUUACUUCUACUCCAAAUGCAAAUAAUGCUCACUUGCAGUCUGUGAAGCAGAAUCAUCAAUUAAAUGGUGUCUCUUUUGGUGUUUCGGGAGGUAUGUCGAACGUAAAAAUUUUGAGCAAAUCCAAGGACAUGAAUGGGCCUGAACCUACUCCCAGCCAGUCAUCUGUACUUCUUAAUGGUGGAAAUGGAGCUCCUCUGGACAGAUCAAUGGCCAAUGGCCGACAUUUUCUUGGGAAACAGCAUGGCAGGAUGACUAAUUCUGCAUUUACCUCCAGAAGAUAGUAAGUAAAGACACUUAAAAUCGUAUUCUGUGAUGUAGUCCUUUAUCCUAUUAAUUGCCACUUCGAAUGCAUCUCUUGAUUAUUUUGGUGCUGGCAGGACUUCAGGAGCAGUCACAGCAUCUUUUGCCCCGAAAGUGUACUAGUGUGCGGAUUAGAGGCUUAUUUUGGGAAGUUAUACUAGAUGUGGGGAAAUUAUGUUGUGAUGAUUGAAUCUGUUUCAUCAAUAUUUGCAUCUCAUGGGAUUCGCAGAUUGGAUUUGUGUUUGCCUCUUUUUUUUUUUUUUUGGUUUAAAAGCUUUAGUUUUUGCUGUGUUUUAUCAUAGUCAAGACUCCACAGCCAACUGUCUGAAGUGAUAUACAAGCACAAAACGUCUUCUGUUCA